Molecule: ribosomal RNA, 1157 nt
Filed under: cyanobacterium GSM_I_36B_cl_11_3
Lineage: Bacteria; Bacillati; Cyanobacteriota
Description: bacterial SSU rRNA
Rfam family: Bacterial small subunit ribosomal RNA
Source: RNAcentral
GGGGAAUUUUCCGCAAUGGGCGAAAGCCUGACGGAGCAAUACCGCGUGAGGGAGGAAGGCUCUUGGGUUGUAAACCUCUUUUCUCAGGGAAGAAGCAAGUGACGGUACCUGAGGAAUCAGCAUCGGCUAACUCCGUGCCAGCAGCCGCGGUAAUACGGAGGAUGCAAGCGUUAUCCGGAAUGAUUGGGCGUAAAGCGUCCGCAGGUGGUGAGACAAGCCUGCUGUUAAAGGGCGGGGCUCAACCCCAGAAUUGCGGUGUGUAGCGCUAGAGGGCGGUAGGGGCAGAGGGAAUUCCUGGUGUAGCGGUGAAAUGCGUAGAGAUCAGGAAGAACACCGGUGGCGAAAGCGCUCUGCUAGACCGUGACUGACACUGAGGGACGAAAGCUAGGGGAGCGAAUGGGAUUAGAUACCCCAGUAGUCCUAGCCGUAAACGAUGGAUACUAGGUGUUGCACGUAUCGACCCGAGCAGUGCCGUAGCUAACGCGUUAAGUAUCCCGCCUGGGGAGUACGCCGGCAACGGUGAAACUCAAAGGAAUUGACGGGGGCCCGCACAAGCGGUGGAGUAUGUGGUUUAAUUCGAUGCAACGCGAAGAACCUUACCAGGGCUUGACAUGUCGCGAAUGCCGGGGAAACUUGGCAGUGCCUUCGGGAGCGCGAACACAGGUGGUGCAUGGCUGUCGUCAGCUCGUGUCGUGAGAUGUUGGGUUAAGUCCCGCAACGAGCGCAACCCUCGUGUUUAGUUGCCAGCAUUCAGUUGGGCACUCUAGAGAGACUGCCGGUGACAAACCGGAGGAAGGUGGGGAUGACGUCAAGUCAGCAUGCCCCUUACGCCCUGGGCUACACACGUACUACAAUGCGGCGGACAAAGGGCAGCAAGUUAGCGAUGACAAGCAAAUCCCACAAACCGACGCUCAGUUCAGAUUGCAGGCUGCAACUCGCCUGCAUGAAGGCGGAAUCGCUAGUAAUCGCAGGUCAGCAAUACUGCGGUGAAUACGUUCCCGGGCCUUGUACACACCGCCCGUCACACCAUGGAAGCUGGCAGUGCCCGAAGUCGUUACCCCAACCGUGAGGAGGGGGACGCCGAAGGUGUGGCUGGUGACUGGGGUGAAGUCGUAACAAGGUAGCCGUACCGGAAGGUGUGGCUGGAUCACCUCCUU